RNAcentral lists this ribosomal RNA (400 nucleotides) under phytoplankton environmental sample. RNAcentral describes it as "partial small subunit ribosomal RNA". It matches the Rfam family "Eukaryotic small subunit ribosomal RNA", at positions 587 to 981 of the family's 1831-position model. The record is from RNAcentral.
AGCUCCAGUAGCGUAUAUUAAAGUUGUUGCAGUUAAAAAGCUCGUAGUUGGAUUUCUGGUGUUGGGAGGCCCCGCCCGCCGCGAUUCGCGUGUGAGUUGUGGGGCGUCCCCGCCAUCCUUCUGGUGAGCCCGCCUACCCUUCAUUGGGCCGGGCGGUGCGACCCAGAUCGUUUACUUUGAGUAAAUUAGAGUGUUCAAAGCAGGCUUGCGCUAUGAAUACAUCAGCAUGGAAUAAUAACUUAGGACUUUCGGUCCUAUUUUGUUGGUUUCUAGGAUUGAAGUAAUGAUUGAUAGGGAUAGUUGGGGGUGCUCGUAUUUAGCGGCCAGAGGUGAAAUUCUUGGAUUCGCUAAAGACGAACUUAUGCGAAAGCAUUCACCAAGGAUGUCUUCUUUAAUCAAG